RNAcentral lists this ribosomal RNA (466 nucleotides) under uncultured bacterium. Its description in RNAcentral is "bacterial SSU rRNA". It matches the Rfam family "Bacterial small subunit ribosomal RNA", at positions 329 to 792 of the family's 1533-position model. The record is from RNAcentral.
UUCCAGACUCCUACGGGAGGCAGCAGUGAGGAAUAUUGGUCAAUGGCCGAGGGGCUGAACCAGCCAAGUCGCGUGAGGGAAGACGGCCCUACGGGUUGUAAACCUCUUUUGUCGGGGAGCAAAGCGAGUCACGUGUGACUCAUUGAGAGUACCCGAAGAAAAAGCAUCGGCUAACUCCGUGCCAGCAGCCGCGGUAAUACGGAGGAUGCGAGCGUUAUCCGGAUUUAUUGGGUUUAAAGGGUGCGUAGGUGGUUAAUUAAGUCAGCGGUGAAAGUUUGUGGCUCAACCAUAAAAUUGCCGUUGAAACUGGUUGACUUGAGUAUAUUUGAGGUAGGCGGAAUGCGUGGUGUAGCGGUGAAAUGCAUAGAUAUCACGCAGAACUCCGAUUGCGAAGGCAGCUUACUAAACUAUAACUGACACUGAAGCACGAAAGCGUGGGGAUCAAACAGGAUUAGAUACCCCAGUA